RNAcentral lists this long non-coding RNA (1275 nucleotides) under Monodelphis domestica (gray short-tailed opossum). RNAcentral describes it as "lncRNA (ENSMODG00000044799.1)". The record is from RNAcentral. Lineage: Eukaryota; Metazoa; Chordata; Mammalia; Didelphimorphia; Didelphidae.
CUCUCCCGAGCGGCACGUGGACCGGCCGGUGCUGUUACGGGGAGCGGGGGUGGGGGGGGGCUCCUCCCGAGGGUCGGGAGAUGCAGCAGUUCAGCAUGGGGGGGUCCCUGAGGACACCGACGGGGCGCCGUCGGGCUGUUUACAUUUGUCGUUUGUCUCCGUCUGGAGCGGGACAAGCAUCCUCCGACCCCUCCCUGCACAUUGGAGCGGCGGGGAGCUCACCCCCUGCGGGGAGCGUCUGCCCGCUCAUCGGCUGGCGGCUCCCUGUGAAGCGGCCUUCCCUCUCCGUCGCCGCGUUCUUCCGGGACACCUGGUCUCCCGGGCAGUGUCGGGCCGGGCCGGGCUGCUGCCAAGGACGCCUGGCGAGGGUUAGGAAGGCCGUCAUGCCGCCGCGGCUUCUCUCUCCAGGCCGGGUGUCGCCUCUGUCCCCCUGGAACCCGGAGCUCCGCCCCCGGCUCAAGAGACUCGGCCCGGGGGGCUGCGCUGCAGGCCAGGCUGGCUGCCUGGGCGUCCCGGCGUCCCGGCCGCCUCUCGCCUCUGGGCCCCUCCGUGAUCCCCAGGCCGAAGAGCCGAGGGCCGGGCUCUGUGCCGGGCAGCCACCGGGGUCCGGCCGCCUCUGGGACGGCUCACCGCGAGGCUCUGUGUGGAACAAGGCGAGCCCUGCGGUUCUCUGCGGCUGCCCCCCCCCCACUGGUGCCUGGAAGCUCCGUGCCAUCCGCGUAAGCAUUUAUGAGGCGCCUACUGUGUGCGCGGCACCAGGAACUAAGAGCGGCGCUGCCUUCAGACAAGGGCUGCAUUCAGUGCCCACCCCUGGAGGAGAGCCCGACGGUGCAGAGCCAAAGGACCGGGGGAGAAGACGGCCCCCGUGGGGGCGCCGUGCCUCGGACCCCUCGGGGGCUGGGCUUGGGCCGCGGGUGCUUCCCCGGAGCCUUCCGUGGAGACCGAAGCAGCCCUGAGCAGAGCCGGCAGCCCUUCCCUCCUCGGGGGGUCUCCAGGCAGAGGAGGUGCGUCGGUGUGCGCUGCUCGGGCUCCCCGGGGGCUCACGCUCUUCGGGGGAGCCCCGUGCCGGCAGGGCGGCUUGCUUGUCCUCUGUGUGCCCCCAGCCCGGCCCGGAGCCUGGCUCCGCCCCGCGUGCCGGACGACGGGAGGCCAGAGCCGCGCUUGCCCCUUAGACAGGGCAGCCACCAGCCUUGUCUCCCCUUGGAGCGAGCGCACAGGCAGGAGUCCGAGCGGCGGCCGGGAUGCUGCUGAGGACAAAGUGAACGGGAGGGAGAG